Molecule: ribosomal RNA, 407 nt
Filed under: uncultured bacterium
Lineage: Bacteria
Description: bacterial SSU rRNA
Rfam family: Bacterial small subunit ribosomal RNA
Source: RNAcentral
UGGGGAAUUUUCCGCAAUGGGCGAAAGCCUGACGGAGCAAUACCGCGUGAGGGAUGAAGGCUUACUGAGUUGUAAACCUCUUUUUUCAAGGAAGAAGUUCUGACGUUACUUGAAGAAUAAGCAUCGGCUAACUCCGUGCCAGCAGCCGCGGUAAGACGGAGGAUGCAAGUGUUAUCCGGAAUCACUGGGCGUAAAGCGUCUGCAGGUGGUUUUUUAAGUCUGAUGUUAAAACUUGAGGCUCAACCUCAAUCCAGCAUUGGAAACUGAAAGACUAGAGUAUAGUAGGGAUAGAGGGAAUUUCCAGUGGAGCGGUGAAAUGCGUAGAUAUUGGAAAGAACACCGAUGGCGAAAGCACUCUAUUGGGCUAUUACUGACACUCAGAGACGAAAGCUAGGGGAGCAAAUGGG